This 259-nucleotide ribosomal RNA is filed under the name uncultured bacterium. Its description in RNAcentral is "partial 16S ribosomal RNA". It matches the Rfam family "Bacterial small subunit ribosomal RNA", at positions 333 to 584 of the family's 1533-position model. The record is from RNAcentral.
AGGGUCCUACGGGGGGCAGCAGUAGGGAAUCUUCCACAAUGGGCGAAAGCCUGAUGGAGCAACGCCGCGUGGGUGAAGAAGGUCUUCGGAUCGUAAAACCCUGUUGUUAGAGAAGAAAGUGCGUGAGUGUAACUGUUCACGUUUCGACGGUAUCUAACCAGAAAGCCACGGCUAACUACGUGCCAGCAGCCGCGGUAAUACGUAGGUGGCAAGCGUUAUCCGGAUUUAUUGGGCGUAAAGGGAACGCAGGCGGGUUUUU